RNAcentral lists this ribosomal RNA (303 nucleotides) under Rathayibacter sp. AY1B1. Its description in RNAcentral is "partial 16S ribosomal RNA". It matches the Rfam family "Bacterial small subunit ribosomal RNA", at positions 1 to 303 of the family's 1533-position model. The record is from RNAcentral. Lineage: Bacteria; Bacillati; Actinomycetota; Actinomycetes; Micrococcales; Microbacteriaceae.
UUUUACGGAGAGUUUGAUCCUGGCUCAGGACGAACGCUGGCGGCGUGCUUAACACAUGCAAGUCGAACGAUGAAGCCCAGCUUGCUGGGUGGAUUAGUGGCGAACGGGUGAGUAACACGUGAGUAACCUGCCCUUGACUCUGGGAUAAGCGCUGGAAACGGCGUCUAAUACCGGAUACGACCUGCCCCGGCAUCGGGUGCGGGUGGAAAGUUUUUCGGUCAAGGAUGGACUCGCGGCCUAUCAGCUAGUUGGUGAGGUAAUGGCUCACCAAGGCGACGACGGGUAGCCGGCCUGAGAGGGUGA